AUACGUAGGUGGCGAGCGUUGUCCGGAAUUACUGGGUGUAAAGGGCGUGUAGGCGGGAAUACAAGUCAGAUGUGAAAUACCGAGGCUUAACUUCGGGGCUGCAUCUGAAACUGUGUUUCUUGAGUGUCGGAGAGGAAAGUGGAAUUCCCAGUGUAGCGGUGAAAUGCGUAGAUAUUGGGAGGAACACCAGUGGCGAAGGCGACUUUCUGGACGAUAACUGACGCUGAGGCGCGAAAGCGUGGGGAGCAAACAGGAUUAGAUACCCUGGUAGUCCACGCCGUAAACGAUGGAUACUAGGUGUAGGAGGUAUCGACCCCUUCUGUGCCGGAGUUAACACAAUAAGUAUCCCACCUGGGGAGUACGGCCGCAAGGUUGA
RNAcentral lists this ribosomal RNA (376 nucleotides) under uncultured bacterium. RNAcentral describes it as "bacterial SSU rRNA". It matches the Rfam family "Bacterial small subunit ribosomal RNA", at positions 523 to 897 of the family's 1533-position model. The record is from RNAcentral.